GACGAACGCUGGCGGCGUGCUUAACACAUGCAAGUCGAACGGAAAGGCCCUGCUUUUGUGGGGUGCUCGAGUGGCGAACGGUUGAGUAACACGUGAGUAACCUGCCCUUGACUUUGGGAUAACUUCAGGAAACUGGGGCUAAUACCGGAUAGGAGCUCCUGCUGCAUGGUGGGGGUUGGAAAGUUUCGGCGGUUGGGGAUGGACUCGCGGCUUAUCAGCUUGUUGGUGGGGUAGUGGCUUACCAAGGCUUUGACGGGUAGCCGGCCUGAGAGGGUGACCGGCCACAUUGGGACUGAGAUACGGCCCAGACUCCUACGGGAGGCAGCAGUGGGGAAUAUUGCACAAUGGGCGGAAGCCUGAUGCAGCAACGCCGCGUGCGGGAUGACGGCCUUCGGGUUGUAAACCGCUUUCGCCUGUGACGAAGCGUGAGUGACGGUAAUGGGUAAAGAAGCACCGGCUAACUACGUGCCAGCAGCCGCGGUGAUACGUAGGGUGCGAGCGUUGUCCGGAUUUAUUGGGCGUAAAGGGCUCGUAGGUGGUUGAUCGCGUCGGAAGUGUAAUCUUGGGGCUUAACCCUGAGCGUGCUUUCGAUACGGGUUGACUUGAGGAAGGUAGGGGAGAAUGGAAUUCCUGGUGGAGCGGUGGAAUGCGCAGAUAUCAGGAGGAACACCAGUGGCGAAGGCGGUUCUCUGGGCCUUUCCUGACGCUGAGGAGCGAAAGCGUGGGGAGCGAACAGGCUUAGAUACCCUGGCAGUCCACGCUGUAAACGGUGGGUACUAGGUGUGGGGUCCAUUCCACGGGUUCCGUGCCGUAGCUAACGCUUUAAGUACCCCGCCUGGGGAGUACGGCCGCAAGGCUAAAACUCAAAGGAAUUGACGGGGCCCCGCACAAGCGGCGGAGCAUGCGGAUUAAUUCGAUGCAACGCGUAGAACCUUACCUGGGUUUGACAUGGAUCGGGAGCGCUCAGAGAUGGGUGUGCCUCUUUUGGGGUCGGUUCACAGGUGGUGCAUGGCUGUCGUCAGCUCGUGUCGUGAGAUGUUGGGUUAAGUCCCGCAACGAGCGCAACCCUUGUUCACUGUUGCCAGCACGUUAUGGUGGGGACUCAGUGGAGACCGCCGGGGUCAACUCGGAGGAAGGUGGGGAUGACGUCAAGUCAUCAUGCCCCUUAUGUCCAGGGCUUCACGCAUGCUACAAUGGCUGGUACAGAGAGUGGCGAGCCUGUGAGGGUGAGCGAAUCUCGGAAAGCCGGUCUCAGUUCGGAUUGGGGUCUGCAACUCGACCUCAUGAAGUCGGAGUCGCUAGUAAUCGCAGAUCAGCAACGCUGCGGUGAAUACGUUCCCGGGGCU
This 1346-nucleotide ribosomal RNA is filed under the name uncultured bacterium. Its description in RNAcentral is "bacterial SSU rRNA". It matches the Rfam family "Bacterial small subunit ribosomal RNA", at positions 28 to 1381 of the family's 1533-position model. The record is from RNAcentral.